GCACCAUCCCCGGGCUGACCGCUCCUGGCAGCAGGGGUGUCACUGGUGCUGCUCUUCUUGUUCCUCUUGAAGUUGCCUCCGCUGAUGAGCUUGUAAAUCCCGUAGGAAGCUCCGGCUCCGGCAACGAUCCCGAGCAGCGCCUUCAUGUUCCCGAACCGGGGAGUGAUGCUGCCAUCGCCCAUGCUGCCGCUGCUGCUGCUGCUAACUGUAGCCGAGCCCUGCUAGCUAACCAACGUCAAGCUACAGAGGCUCAGACGCGUCAGGAGUCGAGUCUGUGACCUUGCUUGCUAACUAACCCGGGUCAUUAGUUAGCUAACACUGGUGACUACCGAUGGACACUACUAUUAACCCAGCCAGAGAAAUCCAGCCUCCAUGGAAGAAGUUGACUAGUCAGCACAUAAUGGAGAUUAGCACUACCCACACUGGGUUUCCCUAAAGAUCACAGAGAACAAGACGUGUAACAGAUUAAAGAUGGCGAACACACAGCCUGUUCUGGAAGAGAUAGAACUGAACCGGGUUCUGCCACAAUUAUCUAAG
Molecule: long non-coding RNA, 537 nt
Organism: Pleuronectes platessa (European plaice)
Lineage: Eukaryota; Metazoa; Chordata; Actinopteri; Pleuronectiformes; Pleuronectidae
Exons: 3
Source: RefSeq, a predicted model, not a curated record